CGACACAAACGAUCCAAAUCCAACGGUGUAGCUGUUGUUGUUACGCACAUCACCUGGUGGAGUCGCCGGGAUGUCGAGGACUUGGUGGUCUGCCGACGUCUCCGAUAGCCUCGGAUUGCUCAUUCGCCUUGUCGUCCAUGUCUGUGCCUCCACCAUUUGGGUUUACUUUCGGGACCAAAACUGGGAUUAUCUUAUCUCCUCAAACCUCAAACUCCAAAAGCGGAGCGUUUUGAGUUUUGUGUGUGUGUUUUUUUUUUUUUUUUUUCCCCCUCCCUAUUGAGUUGAGACUGGAGAUCUGGGAAGUAGAAAAAGGAGUGGAGAGUGGAGACGGAAGAAUGAGAGAGGGUAGGGUAGUGAGUGAAACAAAAAUAAAGAAUGAAAGUGGAUCCAAUCAGACGGUGGAGAUUUAGAUUUGAAGGAGAGAGGCAGUGUGGGCCGUUGGAUGGGGAACAUGGGGGAGCUUACGGUUGAAGUCAGACUCGGAGAGCUGUGUCGUGAUUGGAUGAUUUGACUUGGAUUGAUUCAUAUUUUACCAUUUUUUUUUAUGUAGUUACUGUGUAUCUUGCAAGUACCCAUACUCGGUUUACAUGUGAAAUUGUUUGACUGGCACGAAACAACCAAUCGGAUUCGUAUUCUCACAUUCUCCGAAUCAAAAUUUUGUGCCCCACUGUUUAUUUCUCCAGGUGCCGUUCUUAUUUUAUUUUUUACCAGAGGGGUUUGAAACUUUGAAUUAGCAGCCCCCGUUUGAAAAUUAAAAGCUUUUGCUCGUUUGUUGCAUUUAAUUUUAGGGGAAAAUAAAUAAAGCUUGAAUAAUUAAUAAUAAAGUAAAUGGAAAGGGUUGCUUGAGAGUAAUUACUAAUUAAUCUACAACAGAUUAGCAUAAAUGGGAAAAUUUCAGGGAAUCUUCUAGUUUUGGCUACUCCUUCAGAGAUAUGAUAUUUCAUUUCAGGUUACUGAUACAAAAAGCUAAAGAGCUAGGGUUGGUUGUGGGUUGCGAUGUUUAUUGAGGUCGAUAUUAUUUAGAGUCCGGUUAUUAUCGUGUAAAUAAUUUUAUUUUUAUUAUUUAUCACUUUAAUUGUGUUCGAGUAAUCUUAACUUUCACUCAAGAUAUGAAGAAGGAAAUUUAAAUUAAACCGCACAAUGUUCUUGUGGGGUUCGAACCACUUCCCUCACACUUUGUGAGGAAGUGGCUCUAGUUAGUUGCAACUCCAUCAUACCUAUGACUUAAUUAUACUGUUAUAGUGUCCAAUAAUUAUCACUUUACUCAAAUAAUGGAUUGAUUCUUCGGCCUAUUACGAAAAGUGAUAUUUAGAUCAAAGGUUUCCCCUUAAUUAGACUAUUAAAAUUAUUGAACUAUAAAGGCAAACUAAGAAUUUGAUAUUUUUUAAAAAUUAGAAUGACUACUUGAAUGACAUUUGAAAAUAAAUAAGAUUCCCAAGUUGUGAGUGACCACACCAAAGUCGAUAACAAAUUUUCUAAAUUGCAACUUGCAAGCCUCUCAAGUUGCGUGGUUUCUCUAUCAAGGUCAUAAAGAAGAAAUGGACAUUUGUGCGACCAUAUCAAUAUGAACUAUUAUUAUUAGCCAAUAAAAUAAAAAAAAUAAGGUCCAGUCGAGUCGAGUCCAAGCACUUAGGAAAAUUCACAUAAUAACUAGCCUAAAAGUUUGUGGGUUUUUUAAAUCAAAAUAUUCUUGUCAUUCUAAAACUCUCAAAAUCUUAAUUUUUCUUCUCUCUCAAAUUCGGCUGUUUGAUGGUGUGAGCGGUUUCCCGGCAACAAUCGACGAUUGUUCAAUUGUAAUUCAAUAGUGGUUUUUCCCUCUUUUAUUUUCCUUGGCGAUUUUGACACCAAAGUAAUUUCUUUUUUUAAAUCCUAAGAUUGAACUUAUUACAAUGGUCAGUUGAGUAUAUAUUUGAACAUAGAUGAGCAUUAGGAUUGACUUGUGUAUGAAGAUAGAAAAUUAUUCAAUGAAAUUAUGAUUUAAUAAAUAUGGUAUAUGAUGUGUUUAUUGGAAUAUUUCUUACGGCUAGUUUGGGAUUGUGGUUGCUAAUUAAAUAAAUUGCUUCUGCUGUGCUAAUGUAAUAAGCUGCUGAUUAAAAAGCAGCUUGAUGAUUAGUAAUCUGUGUUGUUGUGGUUGUUGUGAGUUUAAAAAGCAGCGUACAUGCGUUUGGUAAAUUUAAUUGCAAACAUGUUGUUUCAUUAUAUAAUGACCAAAACAUACAUAAGUUUAAAUUAACUUUUAUUUUUUAAAAGUAUUUUUUUUUAUAGAAAAGCUUAGCUUUCAUUAAAACGAAUUUGAAAAUAAAUACAAAAGUUGAGUUGGACACUUCUCAAUCCACACUUUUGAUUCUGCAUUGUUUAGAGUCAAUUUGGCUAUUGAGUGGGUAGUGUCAUUACAAAGUCUUGAAAUGUGCUGAAUUGUGGUGCCAUCCAUCCUUUUAAGUCUUUCUUGAAUAUCUGAAAUAAUCCAAUCGACUUCAGCUCUGCUGCAUUUUCUCCUUAACACCAGAUCUACAACUUUUUGGCAAUCAGAUUCAAUUAUCAAAAGCUUGCAUCCUACAGCUUCUGCAACUUCAAAACUCAGCUGAAUUGCUUUUGCUUUUGCUGCAAGAACAUCUCCAAAGAACCCUUUAUGUUUUUUAGCUGUUGCUACAAAUUUUUUUUUAGAGUCUCUAAUCACAACUCCUAAACUUGCCACCUUGUUCUGUCUCUUCGUUGUUGCAUCCACGUUUAUCUUUAAGCACCCUACUGAUAGGGGUUUCCAAGUAUGCUCUGCUAAAGAGGUCUGGCUUCGAGGGGAGGGCAGUGGCGGCGGCUUAAUUUUCUUGUAAGCUUCCAUUAUAGCUUCUGUUUUAGCCAAUGAUACUUGGGAAUCUUCAUUAUUUUCUUUAAAGAUAAAGAGGCUCCUUGAAUGCCAAUUCACCCAACAAAUUGCAAUAAAUAACUCCAUCUUUGUCCUACCUUUUUUUGCAGUCAAAGCUUGGAACACACCCAAUAGAUCUUGAUUUGCAAAGAGGUUCAUUUUAUCUGCAAAAUCAAUGAUCUUCCAUGUCUUCUUGGAUGCUUUGCAGUUUAGAAGGGCAUGGGUGAUAUUCUCUCAUUGCUUACCACAUCUUAGACACCAAGGCUACUGCAAAACUUUAUUUUUUUCAAAGAUUCUCUGUUGUUGGAAGGAGAUUUUGAGUUGCCCUCCACAUGAAAAUCUUUAUCUUCUCUGGAAGAUCCAGUUUCCAUAUUGUAUGCCACUCGAAUGAUUUUCUUUUUGAAGUACUUGGCCAGUCUGGGAAUUUCAACUUCAAAGCCACCUGGUAUCCACUUUUUACAGCAUAGUUGCAAUGCUUAUCAAAGCCCCAUAUGAGCUUAUCUAGCCUCGGGCUUUUUGGUAGCAUUAUCUUCAAAAUGUGCUCUGUCUUCAGGUGUGAAGUGCUGAUUUAUUAGAGUUUCACACGUAUGCUCUCCAUCUUUAAUAAUGUAUAAACAUACCUUUUUUUUUCUUUUAAAACACAUAAAAAUACAUGAAGUGAAAAAAAAUCAAUUAAAUAAAAUCUAAUGACUUACUAGAUCAAAACAUUGAUAUUGGAGAGAAUUUAAAGUAGUUUUAACGAUAAUUUGAUUGUGGAGGAAAUAUGAUAUCCAACAGUUUAUAUAUUACGGCGUAUGGAAGAUAAGACAUAAUUAUUUUUUUAAAUGUUAAGGUUAUAAUAGGAAUUUUAAAGAGGUGUGGUAGCUUAUUUAAUAAGUUUCUUGUGAAAAGCAUCCCCCUGCUUUCAAAAGCUACUGUCAAAAUAAAGAAAACUAUGAAAUAAACAGUUUUUAUAAAAUUUACUAAACAAUUAUUUUUAUCACAAAAUAUGAAACAAGUAGCUUAUUGAGUUUUAACCUCAAUCCCAAAUGAGACCUUAGAAUAUGUCUUGUUAAUUUUUGUUAAGUUUAUAAGAAUUUAACAAUUUGAUGAAUAUUGGUUACACGAGAACAUUUGUUUAUAUAUUUGACGAAAUGUCAUUUUAAGCAAAUUGACAUGUAAUAUUUGUUUGUAUUGUGUUAUUGUCGUGUUGUGGUGUUGAUAGGCAUGUCUGAUUGUUGUGGGUUGUGGCACUAUUGCACCUAAAUUUGGCGUGAUGGGCAGACCAAAAUAUCAAAUCUGGUGUGGGUGUGGCACCAAUCACACUAAAAUUGUGCUUUUAGUGCAACAAGCUGCUGUCGCACCAAAACAUUGUUGUGUUAAUUUUUUGUUUUCUAAUUUCAAUUAAUAAAUGUUACUAAUGAGUAAAAUUUAGAUUUUGUCGCAUAUACAAUGGCCAAGAAGCCAUAGGCAAAGGAUAACCCACCUAAAUCAAGGAUGGAACCAGGCAUGAUUAAGAUACCUGCAUUAGAACAUUUCCCCGAACAUAUUACAAAUACUUCAAAAUUUAGGAAUGUGAUUGAAGCUAUCAAAGGAAACUUGAAGAAACGACAAUUAGAAUUAUUUAAGAAAGAUAUAUUCAGGCAUUUUGUAUAAAGACCGUCAUCCCUAUUAGCAAUCGAACUAUUGGAAAGACUAUCAUCCUCAUCAUAAAUAAGAUUAUGAUACGGUUUCACUUUUAAUUAUCUACUAGUGUAUUUGUCCGUGUUAUCAAUGAGAUCAUCAUGAUUGUAGAGUAACAAUGUUGCAGCGAUGUCAUCAAUAGGAGCACUUCUUCUUCAACAUUUGCUAUUGUAAUGUGAUUCUCAUCAAUAGGAUCUUCAUUGUAACUAUUAGAGAGUAAUGUUGUUGGACUAAUUUCAUUACUGGUAAUACCUCUUCUAUAUCAAGGGCAGAGAUGUUUGAUCAGUACAAAGUUUGAGUUUUUCAUAUCACAAGCUCUUGAUUCAGAACUUUAGAGAAUUUGGUACAAAAUAUGGAUGCACCUAUAAUUCAUUGGAUCAGAGAUUAUAUAUAACACAAGCCUCACCAUUUUAUCAUCAAGUGCGUCCAUAAGUAGUGAACAUGUGAGUUGGGUGGAAUAACUCGACCUUAAACUUAUUUAUUUGCAGAACCUCAUAUACUCUUACAAGAAAUUUAACAAAUAUACAGUCUUCCCAAAUGAAAAAAGUUAUAUUCUUGCCAUUCAUGUAUUCAAAGUGAACAUAUGCCAACUUCUUUCACGAUCCAUGAAAACACAUUUAAAGAAUAACUAACUCAAUUAAGCAUGAGUAUUUAGGAAAAGAACAAAAAAAUAUAAUUAAAUAGUUAAAAAAUGAACUUGUAAAAAAGAGUGACAGGUGAUAGAUGUCUGUUUCACAUAAGCUUGUCGCACAAAUUCAUAUGCGACAGCACCUGUGGCACAAGAUAAUGUGUGAAGAUGUUUAUUCCACGUUUUCUAUAUUUCAUCUCUUAGUUUGUUUUUAUUAAAUAUCCACAUAAAUUUAAAACAAUCAAAAUAAAAAAAAUGCACUUUGUGUAAAAACAAACACUAAUUUUAACUUCUUUAUGUUCUAAUUAAUGAUUUUAUCUUCAUUAUGUAUAACAACAUUUGUUUCAUGGAUUUAGUGAUUUGCAGGGGGUGGCGAGAUUUGGUGAUUCGUUGAGAAUAGUGAGAUUUGAUAUUUUGUUCAGACUGUUGUUGGUUUGUCAAAUUUAUUGAUAGGUUUGAGGGUAAUUUAGUCUAAAUUUUAAAUGUUUGAUAAGAUAUGAUAAAAAAAAAAUUAAGGUGGUUAAUUUUAAAAAUCUUAAAAAAAUUUGGACUACUUAUGUAAAUUUUAUAAGCACCUGUGCAAAAACCACAUUAAAGGUUGCAUAAUGUCACUGUCGAUGCCCGUUUCGCCCUUUACACUAUUUUGCCUUUCUAUUAAAUUUAAAGCUAAGGGUGGCCGUAUUGAAUAUAAAUCCAUUCCCUUUACCCAAUUUUUCCCCAGUUCCCUCCACAAGCCCAUGUGACUUUAGCCGUCGAUAUCCAAGUUGAUUAGAGAUGAGUGACUGGCGAGAGCGGCAAGUAUGAGCAUAAAAGCAUUGAUUUUUCAACUAAAAGAAAAUGAAUGGGCUAAUUUCACAAUUUCCCAUGUAAAAUGAUAAUUUUUUAAAUAUCUCCUAAAUUAUCAUAAACUUCAAUUUUAUUUUUUUUAAGAAAAAAAAAAAAAAAACCAAUUCACUCCUAUUUUUUAAAUAAAAUAAAAUUAAAUUAAAGUUCAUAAUAAUUUUAAAGAAUUCUGAAAGCUGUAAAUUUAUGAAGAGAAUAAUCCGAAAUUUUCCUGGGGUCCCAACCCCAUACUCCCAUUUGCGCAAAUGUGGCCCGAUUAACUCUAAUGUUAGGUUAGGUGAUUCUUUGUGCUCGAGUUUGCUUUGAUAGCUGGAUUUAAUUAUAACUGGGGCUCCAAACACCAAAAGCCUGAAAGCCCCGCCACUAAAUAAAUCCCAUUAAAAAAUAUACACAAUUUAGAAAACUUUAAUAAACACUCACAGUAGUUAAAUAAAGGAAAAUGCUUGGUGAAAGAGAAGCACGAGAAAGACGAUAAAAAUAAAAAAGAAAAUGGUAGAGAGAGAGUGAGUGGGCAGAGAGAGAAAUGAUAAAAUUAUCUCGUCUUUUUCUCGUGCUUCUCUACACCUAGCACUACUCUUAAGUAAAUAGAUGGCCUUUCACCCCUUUCGUCUUCUCCAAAUAAAACUCCUUGUCCCCACAGGAGCUGCCGCAAUUACGUCCAUACAUGCUUGAAAAUUUCGAAAACAAAUGGAGGACUAGAGCUUGGAGAUUGGCUUAGAGAAGAUGCAUAACCAAAUUACAAAAUUUAUUCAAAGAAAUUGAUCGUUGCAACUUCAGGAAAUUUUUUUUUUUAAAUCGUUGUGGGUAUGUAUGUUCUCUUUCUCAAGCUUGUUUCUCUGAAAUGUAAGCUAUUAGAGUUGUUUAAUUACCCACAAAUUUUUAUGAAAAAACAAAUCUCUCUCAAUGGCUGAUGCUACAAACUUAUGCUUUGCUGCUUUUCAUAUUCAGUAAGAUAAAAGGAGACCUCUCAUUGUCAUGUUUUGAAGGUAGUGAUUGAAUAAAAACAUCAUAAGCCCUGCUUAUUAUUUUCAUUAAUUACAUUCAUUUUUAUACUUUUAUCCAACCAACCCUUUAGUGUAGGCCUGGAAACAUAUGAAUGAUAAAGACAAGAUCUAUUUUGUACUCAAAUAAAUAGAAAAUUUUCACAUCGCUGGGAAAAUUCCAACUGCACCCUACCAGUUAAAUUAUUAUUAUUAAUUUUUUGGUAAAUAAAAAUUUUGGCUUUGUCGGGGCCUAACUCGGGGCCUUUUCAAGUGAAAGUAUCAUCACUUUAAAAUAUCUACAAUAUUGAAACUUUUGAAUCCUGGAUGGGAGAAGAAUAUGUUACCACGUUACCAAUGGAUUGAUUGGGUGACAAUUUGCCACGAAACUUGCAACACCCAAGUAAACAUUUUGCGUUUUCUAAAUUGUACAUUUUGGGUUUGCUAUCAUGAACAGUUGACCAAACAAAUUACUUUAAGUUAUAGGGGCAACAAGAACGCAAGCCAGAAAUACCCCAGAGAUUGUAAAUAUUCACAAGAUUAAAAGUUUAGAAUCUAAUGGCAGAAAAGUAUGUUAGUAUGUUGUUACUACCAAUACCUUGGCCCUUGGGCGACUGUUUGUCAUGAAACUUAAAACUCCACAGGCAGAACGAGCAUGAAGGGGAAAAAAAGAGUAUCAACUAUCCUAGACAAUCAACAAAACAAAUUAAACGAGUUUGGGAUUCCAGCUAAGUUGGUAAAAUAUCUUAAGACGAUACAAGAUAUUUGGGUUCAAACACUUCUAAUUUAGACGAGGAGGGGAUUUGAUUAUUAAUUGUAAUCGUUUGGCAAAACACCUACUUGAAAAGUUACAGAAACAGCCACAGCAAACUCCGAUUUAUAAGUUAAUAAAUAAUAAUACUAGUGAAAAACUAAUUUAAUUAUUAAUAAGCAACAAUCACUUCCUGUUCCAAAACUAAACAAGAUUACUGCAGAGCCCCAAGCAAGGAUGCAGAAAGUUACAAAGAGGGUUCAAGUUUUUUAUUACCUCCAUCAUAAAGAACACUCCUUGGUGAGAAACCAAAAUUUGGCGAGGGAUUACUGGCAGUAGCAAUGGCGGUGCUGCUGUUAUUGACAGCAGGGAGUGAAAUGGAGAGGUUGGUAUUAGCAUUUGUAAUUGCAGAGCUUGUACUGGGACUUCGUCUAGAAGCUUCCACAAGCUUUCUUGAACGCAGGCGCCCUCUGUGUACGUGCCUCUCACAGUACUUAUGAUCUGGAAUUGCUUCUUUGCUACAACGCCAUUUUUUCCCAUCUGUUCUUCUGCAUCUGCCUGGCUCUGCGUCCAAGCCAUUCUUUAACUCCAAGUGCAAUGAUCCAGACCCAUAAACUAGAGCCCACAACAACAAAACAGUUGAAAUAUUUAACAUUAGCAGCAAUUAGUUGAAUUGGGGUUUCAUCUGGGGACUUACAGCUGGGAUAGAGUUGAUGAAGAUCGCCACUGAGACCUGAAACAGAGCUGGCUACACUCUUCCAAAUGGGAAUCACAAGUUGAGAGGGCACAGGAAGCCUAGCUUCCAUGUAUUUUAAGAUUAGAGAUUGAAGCUGUAGCUCUUGUAGUUGGAAAAUUGUGAAACCACAGGACCUUUUGCUGCAGCCAGUUCCAAGCUCAAGCUCAAGCGCAAUUGAAGGUGAUCCGUCUCCUUUACUACUUUCCAUACUGCAAGAACGGCUCCAAUUUGCCCGUCCGGUCCCUAAAAAUUUGAUACAAAAAAAAAAGAAACACAGCAAUUAUAGUUGUUAGAAUUGUGUGUGAUAAACUAUAAAUGUUAAAUUUGAAAGAGCGAGAGAUUCAAAUAAUACGUACCGAAGUCUGCUAAACGGGCAAGCUUGGUUGGUGGGUUUUGGGGCUUCAUUUACUUUCACAGAAAACGGUCAAAGAAACAGAACAGAAAAUGAAACAGGAGCAAUGUGGGCUGUAGGAAGAACACUGCUAAUCCUCUGCGGAAGCAAUAGAUUUCAAGUCAGAGAUUUCAGAUUUAAAAGUUUGAUGAGUACUCUGAUUCAUGACGUAAUGCAGUAACAGGGUUCUGUUUGGAAGCCAAGAGGGAAGAGAAACCGAUUUACUAAAUUAAAACCACAAUGUAGCCAUAUUCAAGCAGUUAUGUCUUCUAGCUCCAGGUUCUCAAAAAUUCAAGAAAGAUAAUAAAAGAGACGGUGUGCAGCUGCAGGUCUUCUGACAUGUCAGCAGGUGUGGCAGAAGACAAGCGCGUUGUCAGAAACCAGGUAGUGACAAAUGAACGUGGGUUCCACCUGUUAAAGCUGAUUACUAGUGGGGUCCUGUUGUAAGUAUCACAGAUAAGGAAGUAGAGUACAAGGAGACAAAAAACCUAGUAGAAGUAUCAGCUAUGCCAUGUCAUCUCUAUGCAUCAACUACAGAAAAACUACAGUGCAUGGACUGAGAAGAAGCACACAACACAAACAAAAGCAUUCCUGAUGUCAAGUCCCGGUUCUGUUCGUCGAAUAGUAACCGUUCACUGCCUUCCAAUAACCCAUGUUUGCCGUCGAAUGGAAGCCAACUAAGCUCAUUAUUGCCGAUGGCCCGCCCCCGUUUGCAAUCUUCUGCCAAUUUCAGAAUUUCUUUCUUUUUCAUUGGUGUAUUUGUUUUUUAUUUUUUGGUUAAAUCCGCUUUAUCGCUUAUAUUUAUAUAUAUAUAAAUAUAUUUAAUAUUAUGCAUUUCAACCAGACAUGUAAUUCGCAAAAAAUAAAACCUAACUCACGCUAAUUAAACUCGAACAUCCAUUUGCAAGUUAGAACAGUCUGCACCUAAAGUUAAAGAGAGGGUCAUAUACCAUUUUAGACUCAUUGACACCAAAAAUGGCGUCGCCCGGACUCGAACCGGAGACCUUCAGUGUGUUAGACUGACGUGAUAACCAACUACACCACGACACCACUGUUACGUGCAAAAACAAUAAUUUUACUAAUACUAACUUUCAUCUAAUUAUAUAUAUUUAUACACGAAAAAAAAACCCGAACAAAAACCCAAAUUUCUAAUGUAAAUUUGAGGGUUUGUGAGCAGUGGGACUAGGAGCCCACGGAAGCCCAUAUUGGGAUUCAAUAUUCAUGAAAACCUCAGUCCUCGAUCACAAUUUUAAAAUAUGGGUCCAAUUAUGUCGGACAUGUUUUAACUUAAAGCGUCCAUUGCAACCAUUGAAUCUAAAGUUUGAAAAAAUUAAUAAUAAUUUUAAUUUUAAAUCUAAUGGUUAUAGAAAAUACUCUAAGUUAGAGCAUCUCUAACAUAGUAAUUCCCUUAUAAUAUUUUCUUAGUUCUAGAUUGUUGAGUUUCAGUGACGUGAUUAAUGAUCCUUUUGUUACAUGUAUCAUGUGAUUUUUUCACUAGAUCCCGCCCCCGGGGGGGUGGGGGGGGGGGGGUGUAGUUUAUAAUUUGAUAUUAGCUCAUGAUCCUUUGUGCACAUUUAUAAAUUCAUAAAAAAUAAAUCAUAUUUAUAUUAUAAAACAAAAACAUAAAUAUCAUUUGGCCCAAAAAACCCUAAAAUAAAAAAAUCAUAUAAAUUCAACUAAUAGUUGUAAAUUAAACUAUAACAUAAAAAAUAGUAUAAAAUAUAAUUUUCACUUAACCCUUUGUAUUCUCUCGAGCCCUUGCCAUUAUGUAAUUUUUUUUUUAUAUUAUAUACAAUAUAAGCUCUUUAUAAUUUUAAAUUAGCUCGUGAUCCUUUGCGGAAGUUUAUUAUUUCAUAAAAAACAAAUCAUAUUUAUAUGAUUAAAAAAACAUAAAUAUCAUUUGGCCAAAAAAAAUCAAAAUAAAAGAAUAUCAUAUAAAUUCAACUAAUAGUUGUAAAUUUAACUGUAAUAUAAAAAAUAGUAUAAAAUAUAAUUUUCACUUAACUCUUCGUAUUCCCUCGAGCGCUGCCCGUUAUGCAAUUUCCUUUUUCUUUUUUGGAUAUUAUAUACAAUAUAAGCUCAAGUUAUACAUAAUAACACAACAAAUGCCUAAAAAUAAAUAAAUUUAGGCUAUGUUUGGUCUGAAGAAAGGGGAGGAGAGGAAAAGAGAAGAAUGGAGGGAAAAGGACAAUAAAAGAGUAGAGAAUAAUAGUGAAAUAAAAUUUUAUUGUUUAGUUUGUCAUAAAUUUUGAUAGGGAAAGAAAUUACAUUUUUUUUCGUUGGACAAAUUUAUCAUUUGCCUUAAAUACUAAACUAUGUAUAUUAGUAAUGAAAUAUAAUUUAAUAUCAGUACCAAACUUUUUUAAUAUCAAAAAGUCCUAAAACAAUUCAUGAUGUAUUGUACAUACAUACAUAUAAAUAAAUAAUCACUCUAAUUAAAAUAUAAUAUAAUUAUUAUGACAAUAAUUAAUUAAGUACUUUUUAGUAAUCUAUUACAAUCUAACUCAUUCUGAUUCCAAAAUAAAAUAAACAUAUCAAUGGGAUUUCAGUUCAUUCUGAUUCUGAUUAUUGUAGGUCAAGUAAACAACUUAUUCUGAUUCAGACCAUUCCGAUUACUGACAAGUCAAUGCAGCAUAAGUGUGCUAAACUUAUAUUGCUUUCAUUGCCAAAUAUUUUGACAAGUGUCCGGGGCACUUGAAGAGUGGAAAAUGAUUUUUUUUUUUUUUUUGAGAGUGUCACUUUCAUCAAGUUUUCAGGUCAUUUUCAUUAAAAAUUUCUUAAGUUUAUUAGAUAAGGAUGAUUGCACUCACAAGUGAAAAAAAAUAUGGAUGGAUGGAUGGAUGUUCACACAUCGCCAUUUGGUCAAGGCAGUUCAAUUUCUUCAACAGUAGUGCUUUUCAGAUUAUUUAAUGAAGGAUAUUUAUCUAUCAUUCACCUAGUUAUCUCAUCCUUGAAUUUAAAAUACUCAAUAAUUCAAAUCUUUUUACUCGCAGUUGUGGAAACUAAAUAAAUUCUCCUAAAUAUUUAGAUGAAUCGGCUCUUCGAUUUUUUUUUUUUAAGAACAUAUUUAUGGACCAACACACUGCUUUCAGCUUAAGAAAAUUAUAGAAUGACGAUCAUGCGCGUAUAUUGUUAUUAAGUUUUAUGUGUGUAACAUUUUUGUUAGAUCUUAAAUAUUAAUGUUAUGUGCUAGGUUUGGAUCGAACAAUUAUUUAUCAGUCUUAACCCACCUAAAAGUUGACUUAUCUAAUCAUUAAUUGGAUAGUUGCUACUUGCUAAGCAUAAGAAGAAAACUUACACAACUAUGAUGAUUUACAUAACAAACAGGGACAAAGCCCUUGGCUAUAACCUUAUUCACGUCAUUGUGGUACAUAAAAGACUAAACUAUAUGUUACUACUUAAAUGGCAAUAGGGAUUGCAUGAAGUGGCUGAGCCUUAUUUAAGGUGAGACCAAACUUCUCUUCCAUGUCCAUGUUAUGUUGAGUAACUCCAUCUUCAAAUUUCCAAUCAAAGGAAUUAAUAAGUGAACCCAACAUUAGAUAUAACAUUCUUAUAGCCAACGGCAAACCAGGACAUAUUCGUCGUCCAGCACCAAAUGGUAUUAACUCAAAAUUCCGGCCUUUGACAUCAAUGUCCGACCCCAAGAAUCUCUCGGGCAUGAAAGAACAAGGAUUCUCCCAUAUGCCUUCAUCCCUGCCAAUAGCCCAUACAUUAACUAAAACUUGGGCAUCCUUUGGUAUUGUAUAGCCUGCGACUUGUGUGUUUGUUGAGGCUUUGCGUGGAAGUAACAAGGGAGCUGCUGGGUGCAACCUAAAAGUUUCUUUGACUACUGCUUGUAGAUAAGGCAGCCGAAUGAUGUCUGAUUCGUCAAUCGGGUUCCCUUUGCCAAUUGUUUGUUCUAGCUCCAUUCUAGUUUUGGAUAAAGCCUCUGGGUUGCAGAGUAGUUCAGUCAUUGCCCAUUCCAAUGUGCUCGAAGUUGUAUCAGCACCCGCCGCAAACAAAUCCUGUUUGAGAUGGCAGCCAGAGAGAAAUUAAUUGAAUACAUAACUUGUAAUAUAAAGAAGAAAAGGAAAAAGGAAUUGUAAAGAAGAAAUAUUACAAUAAACAAAUGAUUGAUAUAAUUUCUAUCAAUCUCCACGCUCUUGUCAUCCAUGAUAUUGAGAAGAGUAUCCAAAAUAUCUUUGUAUUCGGUGGAACCAUGUUCUUGUCUGAGCUUCAUUCUUUGAUCAAUCAAGCAAUCAAAGACCUCCAACAUCUUGCCAAAAUGUUUUGUCAUGCGACGCCUUAUACCUUGUGGGUCAAGCUUUUUAAGCACUGGAAAAUUGUCGGACAAGUUAGGCUUUCCAGCUUCCACCGUAAUACCCGAAAUCAUAUCUCUAAACUCUCGCGCAGUAUCUGAACUGUGAUCAGCCAAAUCAACGGAAAAAAUUGUGUUCCAUAAAAAAUUAAGAGUAGUAUUGAAAGCUGCCUGGCCAAUAUCUAUUGCUUUACCGGCCCGGCAAUUUUCUUGAGCGUAAGCAAGAAGUUGUUGGAUUCUUUUGCGCCGGAGGUGUUGAUUAGCAUCGAGUUUCUGAGUGGUGAAAAUAUGUGAGUUGCAUAUUUUUCGAAGAUUUGUCCGCGGUGUCGAGAGUGGCAGCCAGCCCAUCGAGAAUUCAUCGUGCUGGUGUGCACGGAGUGCGUCUGGGACCGUUCGAUUACAGAAAGACGUAUCUUGGUUUUGAAGGAUUUCACUGGCUGUAGUUGCGGAAGAAAUGACUACUGUGGUCACCUGGCCAAAUUUUAGACUCAUUACGGGGCCAUAAAUCUUGGAGAGCUUGGCUAGUGACCUGUGAGGUUUGGCUCCAAGCUCCAGGAGGUUUCCGAUGACAGGAUAAGGCGUCGGUCCCGGUGGAAGCUUUCUCGAUCCUGCUUUGCAACCUCUUAAAAAGGAAUUUAAAGUUAUGACCAAAACCCAUGUGAAUAAAACCCAUAACAAGCAGCUUAAGAUAUCCAUCUCUCUAGUUGAAACUCUAAGAAACACCAGAGUCAGUGGCCUUUCACCUUCUUUAAAAUAGAAAGUUAUCUGCACUACGUGUCCUUUGGGCCACAGAUGCUGUUAUCUAAAACAGUGGCUCAAAAGUCAAAAUUUGCGACCGGUAGCUAGCUUAUAGCCGCCUUUAAAUUUACCUCCGUUCUUCAACGCAGUCGGUACUUGCCGAGGUUGCCCUUAAUAGAUAAUAAUAAUAAUUAUUUUUGAUUCAAUCUAACACUUCACUUCAUCUCAAUCCGUUAACCAAGUCCUUUGAAUUCAUUUCCUCCGUUACAUCUUCUGCACUUCUGUUGACUGUUUGUUCCAAGUUGAUUUCCGUUUCUCUCGUCCCUGGCUCUCUGCUGACUGCCCUGUCACGGCUACUGUCAAAGUCAAACAGAUUGGGUUGGGCUUGUUUCUUGGCCCAGUUAACAUUCUUACCACUAUUUUCCACGCAAAAUUUUGAAUUUUAGGUUUUUUCUUUUGUUUUUCAUUUGAAAUCUUAAAUUUUGAAUUUUUUUAUUUUUGUUUUCCCAUUCCGACGUAACUGGAACAUAAUAGCAAUUUGUUACAUGUAUCAUGUGAUUUUUUUCACUAGAUGCAAGGUGUGUGUGUGUGU
RNAcentral lists this long non-coding RNA (14478 nucleotides) under Citrus maxima (pomelo). RNAcentral's name for it is "long non-coding RNA (CMAX_LNC002133)". The record is from RNAcentral. Lineage: Eukaryota; Viridiplantae; Streptophyta; Magnoliopsida; Sapindales; Rutaceae.